RNAcentral lists this ribosomal RNA (255 nucleotides) under Triticum aestivum (bread wheat). RNAcentral's name for it is "partial small subunit ribosomal RNA". Lineage: Eukaryota; Viridiplantae; Streptophyta; Magnoliopsida; Poales; Poaceae. The record is from RNAcentral.
AUGCGUGUUGUAGUUAAUAGAAUUCCCCUUGAUGAGAGGAGUGAUCGUAUCUUUUGGGGACUCAACCAGAAUGGCAAGUUCACCACUAAGUCAGUGUAUAAGAUGUUGGAGAAACCUCUAAGUGGGUGCCAUUAUAGAUGGAUUUGGAAAACCAAGAUCCCUCUUAAAAUCAAAAUCUUUCUAUGGCAGAUGUUGCAAGACGCAGUCCUUACUAGGCAAGUUAUGAGCAAAUGGAAAUGGACAGGGAAUCCCUGA